This is a long non-coding RNA of Erigeron canadensis, 1363 nucleotides long. RefSeq lists it as uncharacterized. The transcript has 4 exons. NCBI's taxonomy places the organism in Eukaryota, Viridiplantae, Streptophyta, Magnoliopsida, Asterales, Asteraceae. The record is from RefSeq and is a predicted model, not a curated record.
CGCAACAACACCAUCCAUCCAUCACCCAAAUCAACAUAGCCGUGUUCGUUGGAUAAAAAUGGUUUUCAUUUGAACUCUAAUCGACACAACUUUUAAUAUCGAAAGUACUGAUGCUAUUAAGUCCGAUAUUCGAUUUCGGGAUUUGCUUUUCUUCUCUUAUAAGUCCCUUGGUUCCUCUUUUUUCUUAUAAUAUAUAUAUAGUUCUCUGUAAUUGCUCAAAUUGAUUAGGGUUUGAUGAUGCUUCACUCCUUAUCACUCUCAAACUCAUCAUCUAUAAUACAUAUACAAAAUAGCUAAGCUGCCAACGCAGCCACCACACCAGUUUUUUUGUGGAAGGGUUAAAGCUAUUGAUGUUGACCUCAUACCCUUUGUCACGGAUGGUGAUCCGAUCACUUCGAAUUCAAGAAGAGAGACAUCUUUGAAAAUUUUACCAGAUAGUUAGCUUUUACUCGAUCUAUUAUUGAAAAUAAAAAUACAUAAUAUUGAAUUUUAGAUGCUAAGAGCUUGACAGGCUAUGCACGAGGUUAAAGAAAACCAUAUUCAAAACUGAAGCAGCAAACUGCAGAUCAUCGUUUGUAAAAGUAUCAAGUCAUUUGGGUCUUGUUGAAGACAAGUUAGUCAAUUGACCCGGAUGAAUAAUUUUUGCUAGAUCGUGAGCAAAAAAAAAGGCAUUGCUCCAUUGAAGAAUUUUUUGCAUUUUGAUUUAUCACUUCAUUCAUGAACAAAAGUUUUUUCCCAAAGUUAUUACCUGUUAAUUCAUUCAUUUCGGUGUCUACAUAGGAUCAUGUUCAUGUUUUGAGGUUAGACUUAACUGGCGAUUUAUAGGUGUUGCACAAAGGAGCUCAGAUUCAACCGUCUAUUCAUUUGUUCUACAAGGUUACCCCAAAUUUUUCCUUCUUCCCGAUUCACUCUUUCCUAUUGCAAAUAGGAAUUUUGUUUCUACAGUAAUGUUUAUCGAUUCCAAGUUCUAUGGCUUUGCUUGCAUUACCAGAAGAAUGGAUUUUGUGUGGAGGGUAGCGGCUAGAGUUUUAGGUGCAUGAUUGUGGGAAGACAUUUUCUUACUAUUGAAUUGGUUUUGAUUUGAAGGUGGAUGAUUGGGUGUACAUAAAGUCUAUUAUAUGGAUGCUCGGGCUAUUGUUGUUUAGUGUCUAUACGUUGUUUGGAGUUUGUAAGAGAUGCAUUUGGUGUUUGAUUUCAGUCGUGUUAUUUGGUUGAGAGAUGUACAUGAUGGGCAUAUCCAUUAUACAUACAAGAGAAGUCGUGUUAUUUGGUUGAGAGAUGUACAUGAUGGGCAUAUCCAUUAUGCAUACAAGAGAAGUGUAAUUAAUUGUUUUUUGUUCUAAUAAAAUAAUUGAGGUACUAA